Molecule: long non-coding RNA, 263 nt
Organism: Polypterus senegalus (gray bichir)
Lineage: Eukaryota; Metazoa; Chordata; Cladistia; Polypteriformes; Polypteridae
Exons: 3
Source: RefSeq, a predicted model, not a curated record
GUGAAACUCGCUGAGGACUUCUGUACCAUUGAAGAAUCAGAACAUGGCAGUGGAGCAGAUGGGCACACAGCUCCAGUGCCUCCUGUUAGAGCAGAAAGGAGAGUCAACCUUGUGAAGAUGAUGAAGAUCUUCGGUGUUCUCCUAGUGGCCGGCCUCGUAUCCCUUUCUGUUUACUAUUUCAUAAAAUUAAAUCACAAGGAUCAAGAGCUGGAGGAGUUAAGAAAUCCAAGUUACAUCUUGACCAGUAAGUACAGCGCUCUGUC